GUGGGGAAUAUUGGUCAAUGGUCGAGAGACUGAACCAGCCAAGUAGCGUGCAGGAUGACGGCCCUAUGGGUUGUAAACUGCUUUUAUACGGGGAUAAAGUGAGCCACGUGUGGUUUUUUGCAGGUACCGUAUGAAUAAGGACCGGCUAAUUCCGUGCCAGCAGCCGCGGUAAUACGGAAGGUCCGGGCGUUAUCCGGAUUUAUUGGGUUUAAAGGGAGCGCAGGCGGGGAGCUAAGCGUGACGUGAAAUGUAGCCGCUCAACGGCUGAACUGCGUCGCGAACUGGCUUUCUUGAGUGAGUACGACGUCAGCGGAAUUCGUGGUGUAGCGGUGAAAUGCUUAGAUAUCACGAAGAACCCCGAUUGCGAAGGCAGCUGACGAGUCCUUUACUGACGCUAAAGCUCGAAGGUGCGGGUAUCGAACAGG
Molecule: ribosomal RNA, 425 nt
Filed under: uncultured rumen bacterium
Lineage: Bacteria
Description: bacterial SSU rRNA
Rfam family: Bacterial small subunit ribosomal RNA
Source: RNAcentral